CAGUCAUGCAGGCGAGUAAUCAGCCUUUCGGGUGCGAUUCUGUGGGGUGUGAAGAGUUAAACGCCUUCACGUUUUGCAUAUUCGUGCUCUUGGGUGUACUUGCCUGUGUGGUUGGUUAACAUCAAUUUGGACGCCAUAAAAUGGCUGGAGGAAUGUAGCUUCGAUCUUGUAUUGAAG
This 177-nucleotide ribosomal RNA is filed under the name Rhizophagus irregularis. Lineage: Eukaryota; Fungi; Glomeromycota; Glomeromycetes; Glomerales; Glomeraceae. The record is from RNAcentral.